GCCACAUGUACUCCGGAAUCGUCAGGUGAAUCUGAGUGUUGGAGGUUGGCGCGGUCGCACUAUUUAUUUCCCAGCGUUGGCUGGCUGACGGACUUUGGAAGCUUUUCUCCAAUUUCCGCGUGAGCGGUUUUAUGUGUCACGUUUAUGGGGGCUAUUUUUUUUUUUGUUACGCUCCCUCAACUCACUUACCAUUCCGUGAUGGCGGCAGUUUACGCGCCUUUUUAUGCAAUGGAAAAGUGGGAAAAAAGGAGUCGUGGCUAACACGCACCGUAUGCGUGCAUUAUGUACCCGUGGUUUGCUUUAUGGACGGGAAGCGUGAACGCGAUCGUUCCAAUGGUUAUUUGGUGAUUCCGAUGCCGGUUAAAGGGUCUAUCGGUAGCAUGGAUCGGUGGAAAUUAUUUAUCACGGAAUGGCGGCUGGUUUGCGGACAGUUUUUUGUUGGUAGUAUGGUACAUGAAGCGUAAUCAUGAGUGUGUAAUUAGCGUGUCGAAUGAUCGUGUGUGAAAAUGUGUGUGAUCAGACGAUCAGUUAUGAGUGAUCGUUUACUUAACAAUAUUUUAAGCCUUUCCCAUUCUCGCAUUAAGCCUGAAAGUAUGCAACGUAUGUCGAAUCGAAUGCGUUUCUACGUCAGCGCAACUCCAACUGCAGACCGCUCGUUAGUUAAAUACGGAAGUGUAACAUGAUUUGCGGAAAUUACUACCAGGGGCAGCGUUCCGGCUAAACGGUUCGAUCUGUAUUUGCACGAGCAAACCCCAAAUCAGAAAGCCUGAAGAAAUGACCGUCGAUGGCGUCACUGGUACUGCUGCAAGCUCGCUGCAGAUUGAAAUUGGGUCGGGUGCAAGUAACACCGGUACGUACAACUAAUUUCCGAUAAAUUAGUUUCGAUCUUACAGUGACUCCGGGCGGAUGUUUCCGGUGGCGCUGGCAAGAGUAAUCAAAUUAUCCCACCGUACCAGCGCUGUAAUUAGCCCACGGCCAUGGCAAGAGAUUACGGCGCUCGCCCAAGAAGAGUUGUACCGUAGUUAGUAGCUGUACUACAGUGCACACCAUUGUCUUGUGCGCCCGAUGCGUUCUUGCUCAUCCUUCACCGAUCUGACCGACCACGGGGAAAUUCCGAAUUCGUCCGGAUGAAACUUGCAACCAACCAACUGCACGGAGAACAAUGGAAAAGGCGGUCAGCGCCAGACACUGGCGGACCCGGUAGAAUGAUUAAAAAUGCAUGCCGCAUUUUGAUUAUUUCUCGCACGUUUUCACUUUUUCCCUUCGCAAAACACACACACACACACAAAGUUAGGACGAUGUAAGGAUUCAUUGGUCGCUUUUCUCUGUUUUCGGAAUGGUCGGAACAAUCUUCCAAGCAAACGUACCUCAACGUUAGAAUGGGGGAAAACAUAAAAUGGAGCCCUGCCUCUGCCAGCACUUGCAAUGCUUAGUACCCCGCUUGAUACGUAGCCGGUCGUCUGUAGCAUCCGAAAAUGGAGCGAAAAUUACUUCUUUUCCGGGAUAAUAAUUUUCAAAUUAGUUUUCAUUUCGAGCGUGCAGUGGCGAAACCAGCGUCGUCCGGUAGUGCGAGAGGUAUGUGCGAACGUGAGCUUUCAACGGGUGUGCUCGUGAUUUUGCUGCACGAAUGAUAGCAUUCGGGGUUGAAGAUGGUUUAAGGUGUGUGCUACACUGAUUGUUCGAAUUUAAAUAGAUUUUUUAGGGUUUUAAUUGAUCAAAACAGUUUAAAAAUAGCUGAUUUUCGUAGCUUCCAAUCCAACCCAAUCCAAUGCUCCUAAAUGUUUUCUAUUCGCUAGACAAAACCGUACUUCUUGACUUGGAGUAUUUGUUUUCAAACCGUAGCGGUUUUUUUUUAAAUUUUUUUAAUAUAAAGUAAUUUCAACACUUCUUAAAUUUCGGAAAAAUAGUUGAAUAUAAAAUUAUAAAAUGUAUGCGUCAUUUCAAGGCUAAUUAUAUAUUUAAGAGCUUAUUUACAACAAACUCCCCAUAAUA
Long non-coding RNA from Anopheles stephensi (Asian malaria mosquito), 1992 nucleotides. RefSeq lists it as uncharacterized. The transcript is spliced from 3 exons. Lineage: Eukaryota; Metazoa; Arthropoda; Insecta; Diptera; Culicidae. The record is from RefSeq and is a predicted model, not a curated record.